Leucoraja erinaceus (little skate) is the source of this 3221-nucleotide long non-coding RNA. RefSeq lists it as uncharacterized. The transcript is spliced from 4 exons. Lineage: Eukaryota; Metazoa; Chordata; Chondrichthyes; Rajiformes; Rajidae. The record is from RefSeq and is a predicted model, not a curated record.
UGAUCAAAAAGGUUGGGGCUGUAUUUACAUAGAUUCUGCCCAUUGUCUGAAGAAAUGUUUUGGCCUGAAACGUUGCCUAUUUCCAUCGCUCCAUAGAUGCUGCCUCACCCGCUGAGUUUCUCCAGCAUUUUUGUCUACCUGCCCAUUAUCAACACUGUUUUCAAAGUGCCCUGGUACCUAUUCCUUAAUGAUAGAUACUAGCACUUUGCCCACUCGAGGCUAAUUGGUUUGCAGUUUCCUCUCUCAUGCCUUAUUAAAACUUUGUCUCUGGAACUGGUGCUGAAAAUUAUGUAUUAUCUGAUCUGAUUGGAUAACAUGCAAAGCAAAGCUUUUCACUGUAUCUAGUAAGCCCAAUUUAACACGUCUCAAUCCAUAAGAGAGCCACAUUACCUUUUAUUCGUCUUUUCUUAUUUUUACUUAUUUGCAGACAUUUACACACUCUUUUUAUGUUCCACACUAGAUUAUUUAUUCUGAACUUCGAUCAGCCUCAUCAAUAUUUAAGAAUUUACAUACAAAUAGACCAAAAACAUACUACUGUGAGUGAAACUUGGCAACUCCUGGUCCUCACACUUCUGUAACCAGUUCAUUUUUACACAAUGCCAGUAAGCUUACGAAUGGCUGAAGUCUGGAUGGCUUUGAAGCAUGAAAAAAACUCUUUAGAAAAUGAAGGAAAAUAUCCUAACUGACUAUUUUAAGAUGAAAUGCUCAAUAAAUGGCAUUCACAAGCUAGACCAACAGGCCAUUCCAUUCGAUGUCCCUUCACAAUAUAAACAAAUGAUUUUUUCUAAGAGACCAGAUGUAAAAGAAAAAAAACCUACCCAAAAAUUCAGAAUGCCAUCAUAAAAACAUAGAAAAUAGGUGCAUGUGUAGGCCAUUCGGCCCUUCGAGCCUGCACCGCCAUUCAAUAUGAUCAUGGCUGAUCAUCCAACUCAGUAUCCAACUCAGCAUCAUCCGCCCACCUCAUUCCUCAUUGAAAGAAAACUAUCAGUGUAACCUGCAUUUUCGCCUUGCAUUAUAAAGUGCAAUCAUUAAUUUUGUUGUAAUUCGUAUUUCACUAUGCACACCCCAACCCUUCCUGGAAAAGUUAUUUCCUAAAUCGGCCCCAUCCGACCUCUGAGCACUAAACUUACCUAUAAUGUACCCCAUGUUAAAUAAAGGAUGAACAUUUUAUAAAGAAAACUGUACAGAAACAGUGACAUAUCAACAUAGGAAGAAUACAGUGUAUACACGCAGAUGGCUCAGGCUCUGUGCAGUAAUGGCCAGUUGGGGGCGAAUAAAGUUAAAUUAAAGUGGAAAUUAAAAUUAAACGGCGCAGAAGACGGAAAUUUUAAAAUAUGUUCUUAUGCCUAGGAUGGAAAUAAAUAAUUUUGAGUUAUUCGAUGCGGCAGUUAGUGAAGGUGACGGGCGGUAACCAUGGAGACUGGUAGUCGGGUCGGCAGGAGCCGCAGACUCAGCCUCUAUCAUUUGCUUGGUGGCCCCAUAGCAGGAACGUCCACGUCGUGGGGCUGGAAACUGGAAGUAUCCUGAGCUAAUUCUGCUACCACCAUCAUCUACUGCGACAAGCGAUGGCUCCCACUGAUUGUCACCGGAAGCUUGCGUCCUUUUCAGGACGGACGAUGACAGCGAGGCCAACAUUUGUAACAAGAUGGAUACGAAAAGAAGAAGAUUGACUUGAUUAUCCUUUUGCUCUUUAUUUCAUUCUAAAAUAUUUAAGAUGCUGCCUGACCUGCUGAGUUACUCCGCCACCCUGUGUCCAGAAUUGACUCCAGCCCGAUGGGAAUCCACAAUUCCAUGGAUCCAUCCAUCAUCAGAGAGAUUCGUAACAAUCCAGGACUGACUGUGUAGUGGAGCAUCUCACACUCUCCCCAAACACCCAGCAAGGCGGAGAGGGGUGCAGUGAACAUUUGAUGUCCGCGUCUGACUGAGGGAGGUGAAGAAGCAAUGACACCAUAAAACUGGAGGAACUCAGUGGGUCGGGCAGCGUCUGUGGAGGGAAUGGCCAGGCGACGUUUCGGGUCGGGACGCUUCCUCAGACUGAUGGAGUAGGAGGAGGGAGGAGGGAGGAGAAAGCUGCAAAAAAAGAGGGGACGAGAAAAACACUUAAGUUCUGGAACAGAUAAUAAUAAUUUUAUUGUCAUUGCACGUCAGUGCAACGAGAUUUAGUAUGCAGCUCCAACUGAUGAAAAAGAAAAGUAAAAUAAAUAAAUAAGCUGUGUGACGUGACCAUCCGAGGGAGACAGUCCAGGGGGGGGGUGGGGGGCACUCAGCAGGGCCGGUUCAGAGACGCUAUAGCUCUUGGAAUAAAGCUGUUUCUGAGUCUGGAGGUAAAACGUGCUGGAGAAUGAAGAAGGGUUUCGGCUUGAAACGUCGCCUAUUUCCUUCGCUCCAUAGAUGCUGCCGCACCCGCUGAGUUUCUCCAGCAUUUUUGUCUACCUUCAAUUUUCCAGCAUCUGCAGUUCCUUCUUGAACAUAAGUUCUGGAGCAACCAUCUUUGAUAGACCAGUGAAUGUGAGUGACAGACAGUUCAAGUCUGGUUCUGAACCUUAAUUAAAAUAAAUGUGAUGUCGUCACUGUUCUUCAGUCCACCAGCUUAGUCACUGUUUACUCAUAUAUAUAUAAAUUGUCACAGUCUUCUCCUCAUUGUUCUAAUAUACCAGAGAAAAUAUCUUGAAGACACGAGGAACUUGUACACAGGGGACACGAGGAACUGCAAAAGUUCAUGUUCGUAAGUUAAUAAGGUCUAGGAACAGAAUUAGACCAUUCGGCCCAUCAAAUUCAAUCAUGGCUGAUCCAUUUUCCCCUCUCAAUCCCAUUCUGCUGCCUUUUCCCCAUAACCCCUAACACCCUUACUAAUCAAGAAUCUGUUCAUCUCUGCCUUAAAAAUAUCCAUUGCCUUGGCCUCCAAAGCCGUCUAUGGCAAUGAAUUCCAUAAAAAGGCACAAAGUGCUGGUGUAACUCAGCAGGUCAGACAGCAUCUCUGGUGAACAUGGGCAGGUGAGAUCUUGGGUCGGGACCCUUCUUCAGACUGUUCCCCGGGGGCUUGAGUUACAGGCAGAGGUUGGGCAGCCUGGGACAUAUUGCUUUGGAGUGUAGGAGGCUGAGGGGUGAUCUGAUUGAGGUGUACAAGAUCACGAGGGGCAUGGAUAAAGUGAACGCUCGUAGGGUAGAGAUGGGCCGAAGGGCCUGUUCCUAUGCAGUACAGAUCUGCGGCUCUACUGUUA